Molecule: ribosomal RNA, 393 nt
Filed under: uncultured bacterium
Lineage: Bacteria
Description: partial 16S ribosomal RNA
Rfam family: Bacterial small subunit ribosomal RNA
Source: RNAcentral
AUACGGAGGAUCCGAGAGUUAUCCGGAUUUAUUGGGUUUAAAGGGAGCGUAGGUGGAAAGUUAAGUCAGUUGUGAAAGGUUGCGGAUCAAGCGUAACAUUGCAGUUGAUACUGGCUGUCUUGAGUACAGAAGAGGUGGGCGGAAUUCGUGGUGGAGCGGUGAAAUGCUUAGAUAUCACGAAGAACUCCGAUUGCGAAGGCAGCUCACUGGACUGCAACUGACACUGAUGCUCGAAAGUGUGGGUAUCAAACAGGAUUAGAUACCCUGGUAGUCCACACAGUAAACGAUGAAUACUCGCUGUUUGCGAUAUACAGUAAGCGGCCAAGCGAAAGCAUUAAGUAUUCCACCUGGGGAGUACGCCGGCAACGGUGAAACUCAAAUGAAUUGACGGGG